RNAcentral lists this ribosomal RNA (484 nucleotides) under uncultured bacterium. Its description in RNAcentral is "partial 16S ribosomal RNA". It matches the Rfam family "Bacterial small subunit ribosomal RNA", at positions 30 to 507 of the family's 1533-position model. The record is from RNAcentral.
AUUGAACGCUGGCGGCAGGCCUAACACAUGCAAGUCGAGCGGAUGAAGGGAGCUUGCUCCUGGAUUCAGCGGCGGACGGGUGAGUAAUGCCUAGGAAUCUGCCUGGUAGUGGGGGAUAACGUCCGGAAACGGGCGCUAAUACCGCAUACGUCCUGAGGGUGAAAGUGGGGGAUCUUCGGACCUCACGCUAUCAGAUGAGCCUAGGUCGGAUUAGCUAGUUGGUGGGGUAAAGGCCUACCAAGGCGACGAUCCGUAACUGGUCUGAGAGGAUGAUCAGUCACACUGGAACUGAGACACGGUCCAGACUCCUACGGGAGGCAGCAGUGGGGAAUCUUGGACAAUGGGCGAAAGCCUGAUCCAGCCAUGCCGCGUGUGUGAAGAAGGUCUUCGGAUUGUAAAGCACUUUAAGUUGGGAAGAAGGGCAGUAAGUUAAUACCUUGCUGUUUUGACGUUACCAACAGAAUAAGCACCGGCUAACUACGUG